UGAGGGCGAGUUGCAGCCCUCAAUCCGAACUAAGAUUGGCUUUAGGAGAUUUCCAUCCCCUUUCGGGGUAGAUACCCAUUGUACCAACCAUUGUAGCUCGCGUGUAGCCCGGGAUAUUCGGGGCAUACUGACCUACCGUUGCCCAUUCCUUCCUCCGCUUUAGCAGCAGCGGCGGUCCCCACAGUGUACCCGUCACUCCGGAGAGUACGCUGGCAACUGUGGGCGUGGGUCUCGCUCGUUGCCUGACUUAACAGGAUGCUUCACAGUACGAACUGACGACGGCCAUGCACCACCUCUCAGCUAAUCCGGCAAAGUGCUUCAG
Molecule: ribosomal RNA, 322 nt
Filed under: Methanothrix soehngenii
Lineage: Archaea; Methanobacteriati; Methanobacteriota; Methanomicrobia; Methanotrichales; Methanotrichaceae
Description: partial 16S ribosomal RNA
Source: RNAcentral